Molecule: long non-coding RNA, 1116 nt
Filed under: Homo sapiens (human)
Lineage: Eukaryota; Metazoa; Chordata; Mammalia; Primates; Hominidae
Description: HSALNT0045784
Source: RNAcentral
CUGGCAUCUGCGAUUGCAUUUUUCCUGUUUUAACAACGGCUGUGCUAGACGAAGUGGUGAAGCCCAAAGACUUAUUUUUGAGCUCGCUGUAAGACUGAGAAAUCACGUAGUCCUUCCUGAAACCACUAAGAGGAAAAAUGUCUGUGACACUGCAUACAGAUGUAGGUGAUAUUAAAAUUGAAGUCUUCUGUGAGAGGACACCCAAAACAUGUGAGAUGGAGUCUCGCUGUGUCCCCCAGGCUGGAGUACAAUGGCGCGAUCUCGGCUCACUGCAACCUCCGCCUCCUGGGUUCAAGCAAGUCUUCUGCCUCAGCCUCCCGAGAACUGGAAGAGGAGGCAACAGUAUUUGGGGCAAGAAGUUUGAGGAUGAAUACAGUGAAUAUCUUAAGUUUUUGUACAUUUGACAAAUGAUGUCGGGGAGACUUGAGAAAUGGUGAUCCUAGCCUGACAUGUGUACUGGAAUCCCACCACCACGUGGCUCUUGAUACACAAUGUUAGAGGUGUUGUAUCUAUGGCUAAUAAUGGCCCGAACACCAAUGGAUCUCAGUUCUUCAUCACCUAUGGCAAACAGCCACAUUUGGACAUGAAAUACACCGUAUUUGGAAAGGUAAUAGAUGGUCUGGAAACUCUAGAUGAGUUGGAGAAGUUGCCAGUAAAUGAGAAGACAUACCGACCUCUUAAUGAUGUACACAUUAAGGACAUAACUAUUCAUGCCAACCCAUUUGCUCAGUAGCUAUGAUAGACCUGGACAAAUAACUUGACAAAUUGCUGGAACACACUUAUUGUGGUUUACCCGGUUUUAAUUAUGUCAGAGAUUGCAUCAUCCUUCUGCUUGUUUACAACUAUGAUCUUCUAUGAAAUGGUGGUACCAAGGGGCGCCCAACAGCUUUUAUCCCCAUUCUUAGAGCAUAUUCUUUAUUAUAAUGAUUAUCCAACAUAUUUCUUUAAUUUUAAUACAAAAAAUACAUCAUUUAAUUUUUGUUACAUAUGAACAUUCAUUUUUAAAUGCUCAGCCUCAAGUGCAGGCAUUUUUGAGUGGCCUGAUUACAUAUUCCUCCCACAGCAAGUCCGUAUCCUGGAAGUGUUAUUUUAUAAUAAAAUUUAAAAAGUUUUAAA